This 94-nucleotide microRNA precursor is filed under the name Caenorhabditis brenneri. Its description in RNAcentral is "pre miRNA CBN34098". The record is from RNAcentral. Lineage: Eukaryota; Metazoa; Nematoda; Chromadorea; Rhabditida; Rhabditidae.
ACAAGGGCAUCCGCGCGAUUGGGCUUCCAAGUCUACCCAGCACUUAAAAAAGUGGCUGGCAAGACUAUGGCAGUCCACUUGCUCUCAUGUCUCU